UUCUUUCUUUCUAAAUUUUUAAUAUUAUUUAUUAUGUGUACCGCUAUGAUGUUUCCAAUCAGAAUAAAUUUUUAAAAUUUGUUCUGCGUUAUUUUUUUGUACAGCUUUCGUGUUUUAUUCUUUUGUACAGCUUUGCACUAUUCCCUAACAGCUAACAGCUCCAGCUAACCGCUCCAGCUAACAGCUCCAGCUAACCGCUCCAGCUAACAGCU
Molecule: long non-coding RNA, 212 nt
Filed under: Arabidopsis lyrata
Lineage: Eukaryota; Viridiplantae; Streptophyta; Magnoliopsida; Brassicales; Brassicaceae
Description: long non-coding RNA (ALYR_LNC002579)
Source: RNAcentral